RNAcentral lists this ribosomal RNA (367 nucleotides) under uncultured bacterium. RNAcentral's name for it is "bacterial SSU rRNA". It matches the Rfam family "Bacterial small subunit ribosomal RNA", at positions 28 to 396 of the family's 1533-position model. The record is from RNAcentral.
GACGAACGCUGGCGGCGUGCUUAACACAUGCAAGUCGAGCGGUAAGGCCCUUUUGGGGGUACACGAGCGGCGAACGGGUGAGUAACACGUGGGUGACCUGCCCUCAGCUCUGGGAUAAGCCUGGGAAACUGGGUCUAAUACUGGAUAUGACCUUUCCUCGCAUGGGGUUGGGUGGAAAGUUUUUCGGCUGGGGAUGGGCCCGCGGCCUAUCAGCUUGUUGGGUGGGGUGAUGGCCUACCAAGGCGACGACGGGUAGCCGGCCUGAGAGGGCGACCGGCCACACUGGGACUGAGACACGGCCCAGACUCCUACGGGAGGCAGCAGUGGGGAAGUAUUGCGCAAUGGGCGGAAGCCUGACGCAGCGACG